CUGGCCUGGCAGAGCUGGACCUGCAGCGGACGCUGAGUUUGCAGGCGCCACCUGUGAAGGAGGGGCCACUCUUCAUCCACAGGACCAAGGGCAAGGGCCCCCUCAUGUCCUCCUCCUUCAAGAAGCUCUACUUCUCCCUCACUACCGAGGCCCUCAGCUUCCCGAAGACGCCCAGCUCCAAGGGGCCUCCUGCUGCGCACUCCAAGGGGGUGCACGUUUCCAAAGAGAGAUCAAGGGACAUGGGGAAAGGAGAAAGGACCCACAAGUGCUAUUUGCUGGCUACAAAGUCCCCCACCCCUUGGAGCACAAGAUCAUCAUCCGAGUGCAGACCACGCUGGACUACAGCCCCAGGAAGCCUUUACCAACGCCAUCACCGACCUCAUCAGUGAGCUGUCCCUGCUGGAGGAGCGCUUCCGGGUGAGGGCAGGGCCUGGAGGGGCAGACGGGGUGGGCUGGACACUGGCCCAUGUGCCCAGGCCUGGGACAGCCCUGGCCUGUUUCUUCGGAGGUCCUGGGGGAGAGGCGGCGGUGAUGGAAGAGCAGGGACUUCCACCACAGGCUCCAGGACAUGUGAACUGAGGGGCUGUGGAGUCUGGGCCUGUGGCUCCC
RNAcentral lists this long non-coding RNA (609 nucleotides) under Pan troglodytes (chimpanzee). RNAcentral describes it as "long non-coding RNA NONPTRT016139". Lineage: Eukaryota; Metazoa; Chordata; Mammalia; Primates; Hominidae. The record is from RNAcentral.